RNAcentral lists this ribosomal RNA (238 nucleotides) under uncultured bacterium. Its description in RNAcentral is "partial 16S ribosomal RNA". It matches the Rfam family "Bacterial small subunit ribosomal RNA", at positions 15 to 245 of the family's 1533-position model. The record is from RNAcentral.
GAUCAUGGCUCAGGAUGAACGCUAGCUACAGGCUUAACACAUGCAAGUCGAGGGGCAGCAUCAUCAAAGCUUGCUUUGAUGGAUGGCGACCGGCGCACGGGUGAGUAACACGUAUCCAACCUGCCGACAACACUGGGAUAGCCUUUCGAAAGAAAGAUUAAUACCGGAUGGUAUAGUUUUCCCGCAUGGGAUGAUUAUUAAAGAAUUUCGGUUGUCGAUGGGGAUGCGUUCCAUUAGG